UUGCAGCAAGGCCAUCUCAACCCGAAUGCAACCGGCAAUGAGGCUUCAAAGCCUAACCUUUGUAAUCCUUGGCUUGACCGCUGUAGUGCAAAGCGGACGAUGUGCAAUACCAAUUCCAUGACAGCAUGUGUCCUGCGAAAUUCAAAUCAACAAUCAUCCAAAUGACAGUCCAAUUCAAAUCAGUGAUUAUUCAAGCAACAAACCAGUUCUUGAAUAUAAGCUAGUUUGGUUCAGUACGGAUAUCCACAGUUAGAUCAAAGAUUGAAGGAAAAUGCAAUUAGAAAAUGGGGACUUGUGGUAAAUCUCACGUGAACUUAAUUCAUGAUUUAAGACUCACCUUCACUUAAUGCCAGCUGGAUGGUGCAGAUUGAAUCAUUUCAGAUUUAAUUCUCCAAUUUGCCCCUUAGAUCCUGCUAUAUAAGCUGCAAUCAUUGCCAAUCAUUGGUUUCAGAAAAUUUUCCCUCUCAUUCCAAAAUCGUUUUCGCCCUCAAUCCUUCAACCUCUAACAAACUUUUCCAGCUUCUCCUUCAACCUCUAACAAACUUUUCCAGAUUCUUCUUCAACCUGUAACAAACCUUCAACCAUACUCAUAAUCACAAUCCAGAUUCUUCUCCUUCUUCCUCCAUCACCUAAUCUUCUUCAACAUCAACCUUCACCUUCCAAUCCACACCUUCACUAAACUCCGAACUCCAUGGCCAAAUCUUCAACCACCACGGAUCUGUAACCGUAA
This 730-nucleotide long non-coding RNA is filed under the name Lathyrus oleraceus (garden pea). RNAcentral's name for it is "Pisum sativum (pea) long non-coding RNA (PSAT_LNC033057)". The record is from RNAcentral. Lineage: Eukaryota; Viridiplantae; Streptophyta; Magnoliopsida; Fabales; Fabaceae.